This 446-nucleotide ribosomal RNA is filed under the name uncultured bacterium. RNAcentral's name for it is "partial 16S ribosomal RNA". It matches the Rfam family "Bacterial small subunit ribosomal RNA", at positions 329 to 792 of the family's 1533-position model. The record is from RNAcentral.
GGCCAGACUCCUACGGGAGGCAGCAGUGGGGAAUAUUGCACAAUGGGGGAAACCCUGAUGCAGCGACGCCGCGUGAGCGAUGAAGUAUUUCGGUAUGUAAAGCUCUAUCAGCAGGGAAGAAAAUGACGGUACCUGACUAAGAAGCCCCGGCUAACUACGUGCCAGCAGCCGCGGUAAUACGUAGGGGGCAAGCGUUAUCCGGAUUUACUGGGUGUAAAGGGAGCGUAGACGGUGAAGCAAGUCUGAAGUGAAAGGCGGGGGCUCAACCCCCGGACUGCUUUGGAAACUGUUUGACUGGAGUGCAGGAGAGGUAAGUGGAAUUCCUAGUGUAGCGGUGAAAUGCGUAGAUAUUAGGAGGAACACCAGUGGCGAAGGCGGCUUACUGGACUGUAACUGACGCUGAGGCUCGAAGGCGUGGGGAGCAAACAGGAUUAGAUACCCCAGUA